GCGGGUGUGGCGGAAUUGGCAGACGCACCAGACUUAGGAUCUGGCGAAGAGAUUCAUGCAGGUUCAACUCCUGUCACCCGCACCA
Molecule: transfer RNA, 85 nt
Filed under: Bacillota bacterium
Lineage: Bacteria; Bacillati; Bacillota
Description: Firmicutes bacterium (anaerobic digester metagenome) tRNA-Leu
Rfam family: tRNA
About the family: Transfer RNA (tRNA) molecules are approximately 80 nucleotides in length. Their secondary structure includes four short double-helical elements and three loops (D, anti-codon, and T loops). Further hydrogen bonds mediate the characteristic L-shaped molecular structure. tRNAs have two regions of fundamental functional importance: the anti-codon, which is responsible for specific mRNA codon recognition, and the 3' end, to which the tRNAs corresponding amino acid is attached (by aminoacyl-tRNA synthetases). tRNAs cope with the degeneracy of the genetic code in two manners: having more than one tRNA (with a specific anti-codon) for a particular amino acid; and 'wobble' base-pairing, i.e. permitting non-standard base-pairing at the 3rd anti-codon position.
Source: RNAcentral